Molecule: ribosomal RNA, 1325 nt
Filed under: metagenome
Description: bacterial LSU rRNA
Rfam family: Bacterial large subunit ribosomal RNA
Source: RNAcentral
AGUGGAUGGGGAGCAACCUAGUUGUGCGUGUGUAAAGGUAGUGCCAAGAAAAGCGAUGAUCAUGUUGAAAAUCAAUUCCCGGUACCCGAAAUCGACACAGUGGGCAAGUAGAGAAUACUAAGGGGCGCGAGGUCACUCUCUCCAAGGAACUCGGCAAAAUGACCCCGUAACUUAGGGAGAAGGGGUGCCACCGAGAGGUGGUCGCAGUGAAGAGGCCCAGGCGACUGUUUAGCAAAAACAUAGGUCUCUGCAAACUCGAAAGAGGAGGUAUAGGGGCUGACGCCUGCCCAGUGCCGGAAGGUUAAAGAAGUUGGUCAGUUUUAGGAUGAAGCUAGCGACUGAAGCCCCGGUGAACGGCGGCCGUAACUAUAACGGUCCUAAGGUAGCGAAAUUCCUUGUCGGGUAAGUUCCGACCCGCACGAAAGGCGUAACGAUCUGGGCGCUGUCUCGGAGAGAGGCUCGGCGAAAUAGGAUUGUCUGUGAAGAUACGGACUACCUGCAUUUGGACAGAAAGACCCUAUGAAGCUUUACUAUAGCUUGGAAUUGUGUUCGGGCUUCCUGUGCGCAGGAUAGGUGGGAGGCGUAGAAGGUAUUCUCGUGGGGAUACUGGAGCCAACGGUGAGAUACCACUCUCAGGAGGCUAGAAUUCUAACUUAAUUAAGGACAGUUUCAGGUGGGUAGUUUGACUGGGGCGGUCGCCUCCAAAAAGGUAACGGAGGCGUACAAAGGUUCCCUCAGACUGGUUGGAAAUCAGUCGAAGAGUGCAAAGGCAGAAGGGAGCUUGACUGCGAGAAGUACAGUUCGAGCAGGGUGGAAACACGGUCUUAGUGAUCCGACGGUGCUGUGUGGAAGGGCCGUCGCUCAACGGAUAAAAGUUACUCUAAGGAUAACAGGCUGAUCUCCCCCAAGAGUUCACAUCGACGGGGAGGUUUGGCACCUCGAUGUCGGCUCAUCGCAACCUGGGGCGGAAGUACGUCCCAAGGGUUGGGCUGUUCGCCCAUUAAAGCGGUACGUGAGCUGGGUUCAGAACGUCGUGAGACAGUUCGGUCCAUAUCCGAUGUAGGCGUGAGAAUAUUGAGAGGAGCCUUCCUUAGUACGAGAGGACCGGGAAGGACGCACCGCUGGUGUACCUGUUAUGAUGCCAAUUGUAAACGCAGGGUAGCCAAGUGCGGAGAGGAUAACCGCUGAAAGCAUCUAAGUGGGAAGCCCACCUCAAGAUGAGUAUUCUGGUGUAAGGUCACGGGAAGACGACCCGUAAAUAGGCACGAGGUGGAAGUGCAGAGAUGUAUGAAGCCGAAGUGUACUAAUAGACCGUCGGCUUGAUC